CUGCCCCCUCCUGCAUACGAGGAGGGCUCAGCCUACCAGUAGUCCUCUCCACCCUUCUGCUAGACCCUGUGGAAACUGCCCUGGUGGCCAUGCAAGGGGAGAGGGUGGAGUCUAUACACAGCUGAGUUUAUAAUGAUCCUUUCCUUAUCUUUUCCACAGAGACCCCUCUGCAGUGAGGAACUCCCUUCAAGAAAGGCUCAACCGAGCAGCCAUGACCAAGGACAAAAGAAAAGGCUAUCAGAGAUGCUGUCAAAAUGGGGCAUAUUUGGGACAAACGUGAAUGGGGCAACACAAAUCAAGGAUGUGAUCACUGCUGUAUGAAGCAAGAGGAUGCCAUGUGCAACAUCAACCACAGCAACUGGGAAACAGGAGGCUCACACAACAAUCUAAAGGAAAAGUCCCAAGAUACUUAUUCCUGCUGCCAGAGGAAAGAAGAAAUCAUUGGACAGGUUAUGCUUUAUUCAGGAUAUCAGCAAGAACUGUAGAUAAACUGUCAGAUGCUGCACUGUAGAAAACACAGCAAAAAAGACAUCACAUUUUGUUCAUGCUAGAAGUACAUAGGAAAUCCACUCCACAUCUGGACAACCAAAUUGACUGGAGAUACUCAAGCUUUGAUGAAAAUGUUAAAUUAAAAUUAAAAUGUUGAAAGAAAACACUGGUAAGGCCAAAAAGAACAAGAAAAGAGCCAUUCAAACAGUCAUGGAGAAAUUCAGGCAACUGGUAGGGUUCAUUACUACAGAUCAGCACCAUAUGCAACUUUUUGUUAUGGACACAUUAAGGGAGAAUCAUACCACUGAUUGGAUGGAAAUAAAGGUUAGUGUGAUUUCUCCACUGUUACUACUGCAAUAGAAUUGCUAAAGAAAUAUCCCCUUCCUCUAUGUAAUUGGCUGACUCUAGUAAUGUCUAUGCAAUAGGUUUGUUAGGCUAGUCACCAGUAGCUCUGCAAGUACAAAACCAACUUCUACAUCCUAACAAAAGCUAUUUGGUAGCUUGGUAAACUUACAAAACAUUUCUGUAAAGUCAAAAGAAAACACCACUUUGGGACUAUUAAGCUUUCUUCUGAGAUCCUGAAUUU
Molecule: long non-coding RNA, 1075 nt
Organism: Dermochelys coriacea (leatherback sea turtle)
Lineage: Eukaryota; Metazoa; Chordata; Testudines; Dermochelyidae
Exons: 4
Source: RefSeq, a predicted model, not a curated record